AGGACGGAUUAUAUGGAGGUACGGUUCUUCUUCGACACUCUAAGCUACCUGAACGUGGAAUACUUACCUGAGUACAGCAUCGAAAAAAUCAUAGCGACUCUUGGAGGCCAGAUGGGGAUAUUCCUGGGCGCAAGUUUACUGACACUAUCGGAGCUGGUGGAGUUUUUGUUGAUGGCUGGUCUUGUAGCGUGCAGG
This is a long non-coding RNA of Pecten maximus, 195 nucleotides long. RefSeq lists it as uncharacterized. The record is from RefSeq and is a predicted model, not a curated record. The transcript is spliced from 2 exons. Lineage: Eukaryota; Metazoa; Mollusca; Bivalvia; Pectinida; Pectinidae.